Molecule: non-coding RNA, 45 nt
Filed under: Schistosoma haematobium
Lineage: Eukaryota; Metazoa; Platyhelminthes; Trematoda; Strigeidida; Schistosomatidae
Source: RNAcentral
AUCCAGCUGAAGAGUCCCAAAUAGGACGAAACGUGCAUCAUGGAU